UACCUAUCCCAAAUCCACUUGAAGCUCUUCGUAAAAGACCUUUUAACUUUGCCUUCAACAGAGUAGGCCUUAUAGCUUGCAACCCUCUUCUUUCUCUCGAACUCAAGGUCAGUGAAGCCCCAAGAAGGCCCUCUUGUGCUUUUCCCUUUCUUCAACUUCAAAUCCUUCACACCACCCAUAUGGGUUUGUGGUAAGUCAUAGGAAGAAGAAGCGUACGAGGCACUGUGAGACCUGAGGUCAAUGGGGUUUGAACUGGGUGGUCUGUGGCCAUGGUAGCUCUGAAUCUGCAUCCUUCCAUCAGUGUAUGACUUUGAUUUGUAAUCUCCCAUGGGUUCAAUGAGAGAUCGAUCAAAUUUGGGAAUUGGUGUCGUGAUUUUAGAGCAGGUGGGGAAGAAUGGAAAGUUUACAAUGCCGGUGACCGAAGAUGUGCCCCAAGUUGCUACCUUCACAUGAUAUAUUCCCAAUGUGUAUUGGCCUAUUUUUUUUAAAAAAAAAAAAUUUAGGUGUUUUGUUUUUUAAGUUCUUU
Molecule: long non-coding RNA, 526 nt
Filed under: Actinidia chinensis (golden kiwifruit)
Lineage: Eukaryota; Viridiplantae; Streptophyta; Magnoliopsida; Ericales; Actinidiaceae
Description: long non-coding RNA (ACHI_LNC003979)
Source: RNAcentral